Molecule: long non-coding RNA, 1196 nt
Filed under: Glycine max (soybean)
Lineage: Eukaryota; Viridiplantae; Streptophyta; Magnoliopsida; Fabales; Fabaceae
Description: long non-coding RNA (GMAX_LNC003616)
Source: RNAcentral
UGCGAACCAUAAUAAAUGUAUUAAAAUAACAAGACACGGAAUUCUAUUACAAUUAAAUAACUUCACUCCUUCUUUAAAUAAAUAAAUAAAUGAAAUUUUUGAGAGUUUAAAACUGUCAAAAAUUAUAGAAAAAUAAAAAAAUAAAAACCACAAUUUGUGGCGAAACUGCCACCAAUGGUAGGAUUCUUUUUUCUUUUUUUUUUUAAAUAGAUAAAAUUACAUUUUUGAUUCCCCAGUUUAUUUUCAGUUUUAGAUUUGGUCCCUAGUAAUUUAAUUCACAAAUUUGGUCUCCUUAUUUUAUAAAAUCGUGCAAUAUUGAUCCCAAGUCACAAGUGGAUGUUGACCAUUAACGAGUACAUUCAAUUAGAACAUGACACGUUACCGUCAUCAUCCAAUAAAAACGUGACACGUGGCAGUCAACAUCACUCAUUAAUAGUCAACUUCCAAUUGUGUUAUUGGGAACCAACAUUGCACGAUUUUACAGAAUAAGAGAUCAAAUUUGUAAAUUAAAUUACUGGACGAAAUCCGAAACUGAAAAUAAACUAGGAGACCAAAUUUACAAUUUUACCUUCAAAAUACUACUUUUUCCAAAACCCAUAACAACCACCCCCUAGUGUCCUCACCCAUAACAACUACCAGCAUACCACCUCCAUCAUCAAACAACAAACACCACCAUCAAACCAAAUAGUCCUUGUAUGCCUCCAAACACCAAACACCACCAUUAAAUCCAAUGGCAUUGAGGUCGGUGGCGCAGAGGGUGGCUUGUGCGCGUUAUGAUGGUGCUUGCUGAUGUAGGUAGUGGUGGUACGUGUUGGAAGAGGUGGUGCAGGUGGCGGCACGAUGUGGAGGAGAUGGGUAUGGUGGUUGCCUGGUUGUUCGUGCGAUGGUCGGAGUUGUAGUGGUGAUGGCAUGCGUGAAUGGUGAGGUGGUGAUGUUUAGGUGCGGGUUGUUGACCUCACGGUGAUGAAGGUGGCAGCACAGGGAGUUGAGGUCGUCGCAGCGAGGAUUUGGAAGAUGGCGAUGAAGGUGGCGUAGGUGUGGUGGAAGUGGGGUUGAUGCCAUGGCGAAGGAUGAGGCGCUUAGAUAAGGAGAGGCGAAGGGAGAAGAGCGCAGUGGAGAAAUCCUCGUCGCUUGGGUGAGGAGAGAAUGUGGUGAUGUGAUUCUAGAGAGGGUCUUCAAUUUUUAAUUGACACACA